GGAUAGAAGAAAUAUUUUCUAUACUAGUUAUGAUUCAAAUUAGGGUUUUCAAAAAUUCAAAUGUGAAAACGUUUGGUGUUAUGUUGGCGCCUUUGAAGCUUGAGUCCUUUAUAUAUGUAUGCUUCAGGCUAAAAUUCUAGAGAAAAGAAACAUGGAAGCACAGAUGGCCAAGCUGAGUAAUUUGGCUACUGAAAACGCCACCAAAUGGGACCCGCUUCAAGCAAAUAACCAAGUCAAAGGUAAGAGGCACGAAUAGUCAACUGACUUAAACAUCAAAGAACCUUUGGCAGGUACACUUCUGGACAGUGGAACGAAGACGAGGGCUCAAGAGAACGACUGGACAACCAUCAAGGAGAAAUUGUGUAGGUGUUUGAAGGAACUUGACCCCACUACCGAAACAUUUUGACGCCCACCGUGAGGCCGAGUAACUUGUCAAACCUAAUGGUGACUACAAGUAAUAUGAGAACUGAAGACCCGACCGAGAUGAUUAGGAUGCUACAACAAAGAAUGGAGGAAAUGCAACAACAUCAUGAGGCGGAGUUAGCAGCCGUUUGGGCCGAAUGUUCGUCCCGGAUUGCUCAGGAGAAGAUCCUAGGAGCAGGAGUGAAGGCGGGAGAAGAGCGGAAGAACCAAAGGACCGAGUAGAAUACCGUGUCGGACGAGACAUGGAAACCGACCGAAACCAAGAUCCAGGAAAGCGGGACUAAGACCAUCCCGACCGAGAGCGCGACUUUUAGUAAACAAUUGGUGAUGAAGGCUGAGAACACUUCCGACAACUUACUAUUUGUCUAAGCUAUUAUGGACGUCCAUAUAUCCAAACAGUUUUUCCUACCUCAAUUCAAGGUGUAUGACAGGAUGAUUGACCCGGACGACCACAUUAAGACGUUCAUCAACUGGAUGGCGUUUCAUACGGGGAACGACUGACGUCAUCUGGUGCCAGGCUUUCUCCUUAUCGCUGGAGGGAAAAGCACUGGAGUGAUUCAACUCUUUGCCAUUCCAUUGAAAACUUUGAGAGCCUCAAAGUUAUAUUCGGACGCAAGUAGUUGGAAUCAAGACUUAAUGGGGUGGGACGCUGUUAAGACUCCAACGAGUGUACCGAAUCGUAUCAAGUAAUAUAAUUGGUAAGACCAAGUAUCAUUUUUCCUAGAGACUCACGGCUUAGACAUUCAUGUGGUUUCUUGAUUAAUUAAGACUUGGAAACAAAAUCAUUGAGUUUAUAAUGCAGAAAAUAAAUAUGAAUGCAAGUGUCCAACAAAAAUUGAAGUUUAGUUCACCAUAAACAUGGUUAAACUAGAUUAAAUAUGGCAAAGAAUGAAAGAUAAAAUCCUAAAAGUUGAAGAUCGGAGCUUCCGCAUCCAAAAUUUGCCUCCAAGGGGUGAAAGGUAUGUUUUUGCGCCUCUUCUGUAAAAAGAUACCUCAUCUAGGUCGUCCACAUCAUUAAAUAACUCGUAAAAAUAACAGAAAACACAACCCAAGCCUAGUCCUUUGUGCUUAGUGCCCCACUUAGGGCGCCCAGGCAUGAAAUAACGAAUAGUGUCGCACAACGCCCCUGGAAGGGCGCCCAGGCGGUAUCUGCGGCACUUAACUGCCGCUCAACGCCCAAAACUGGCGCUCAACGCUACUUUUCUGCACAUUCCAACCGCUCAGCGCUACAAACUGCCACUCAGCACCAGCGGAUUUUUUCAGCACUGCGUUUUUUCCUCUUUUUCUGUAGUUUCGCUCGCUCAUUGAGUUCCAACUCCUUGCUAUUUCAACUCUUCUACCCAAUCAUCUCAAUUCCUGUUAAAACAAGGAAAUCUAAGCAUAAAAUCAAUAAGUUCACUUUCAACUCUCUUAUUCACACAACUUAAACAAAAUCAUGAUUCCAAGCUAGUUUCUAAGUAAAAAAGGGUGUUCUUAGUAUCAAAAUUAAGUAUCAAAUAACAGUGUUUUCAACCAUUAUCAAACGACUCUUUGAUUCGCGGAUCAACUCAACACUGAGUGCUUCCUACAAUAUCUUAGCCCGGGGGGCGUUUAAUGGGGUGUACAGUUUCAGGUACUUCAUUUCAAAGAAGUCAUGUCAAGAACUAGAGCAUGAGGUUGAGCCAUAAAAGCAAAUCUACCUAGAAAGAAAACCUUUGAAACCACAAGUUCACUAUUGAGCAUUGCAAUUUAUAGUUUAUUAAAAUAAAAUUGUAUCCCUAUUUUGGUAGAACUUUUGGAGUGUCUUUUAAAGACUUUUUAAAGGGCUUUUGUAAACACUUU
This is a long non-coding RNA of Vigna radiata var. radiata (mung bean), 2244 nucleotides long. RefSeq lists it as uncharacterized. The record is from RefSeq and is a predicted model, not a curated record. The transcript is spliced from 3 exons. NCBI's taxonomy places the organism in Eukaryota, Viridiplantae, Streptophyta, Magnoliopsida, Fabales, Fabaceae.